RNAcentral lists this ribosomal RNA (386 nucleotides) under uncultured bacterium. RNAcentral's name for it is "bacterial SSU rRNA". It matches the Rfam family "Bacterial small subunit ribosomal RNA", at positions 29 to 416 of the family's 1533-position model. The record is from RNAcentral.
AUUGAACGCUGGCGGCAUGCCUUACACAUGCAAGUCGAACGGCAGCACGGGAGCAAUCCUGGUGGCGAGUGGCGAACGGGUGAGUAAUAUAUCGGAACGUGCCCAGUAGUGGGGGAUAGCCCGGCGAAAGCCGGAUUAAUACCGCAUACGACCUGAGGGUGAAAGCGGGGGAUCGCAAGACCUCGCGCGAUUGGAGCGGCCGAUAUCAGAUUAGGUAGUUGGUGGGGUAAAAGCCUACCAAGCCUUCGAUCUGUAGCUGGUCUGAGAGGACGACCAGCCACACUGGAACUGAGACACGGUCCAGACUCCUACGGGAGGCAGCAGUGGGGAAUUUUGGACAAUGGGCGCAAGCCUGAUCCAGCAAUGCCGCGUGCAGGAUGAAGGCC